This is a long non-coding RNA of Sinocyclocheilus grahami, 404 nucleotides long. RefSeq lists it as uncharacterized. The record is from RefSeq and is a predicted model, not a curated record. The transcript has 3 exons. Lineage: Eukaryota; Metazoa; Chordata; Actinopteri; Cypriniformes; Cyprinidae.
UAGAGCAGCUGGAGCGCUUCACUAUGGACCAGCACGGCCGCUGCGCUCUCUGACCGAUCGUCUUCACUCUCGUUUUGCUUGGACAACUCUCCAAACACACAGGUUAUGCCACCCCACAGGCCGACUGGAAAUCCAGCCGUGAAAGAGAAGGGCUGAUCCCGGACCCCCCCGUGUUCCCGCAGCUGUGCCCCUCCUUGUCCCCAUGGCGACAGGAGGCAAUGCCCCCGAGACAGAUGUGUUGAUCAACCUGCAUCAGGUUUUGUCGGAAGAAGAGAAGGGCUCCACAGCAGGAGAAGAAGAUGAGGAAUGGGAGAAGGCCUUGUCUGUGGAGAGGUUUGGGGACAUCAUCACUGAGUCUGCCAUCAAUGGAGCAGACAAAAUGGGCCGCAGCUACAAUGAGAAAG